CAGAUGGGUGAGCUUGCUCCCUGAUGUUAGCGGCGGACGGGUGAGUAACACGUGGGUAACCUGCCUGUAAGACUGGGAUAACUCCGGGAAACCGGGGCUAAUACCGGAUGGUUGUUUGAACCGCAUGGUUCAAACAUAAAAGGUGGCUUCGGCUACCACUUACAGAUGGACCCGCGGCGCAUUAGCUAGUUGGUGAGGUAAUGGCUCACCAAGGCAACGAUGCGUAGCCGACCUGAGAGGGUGAUCGGCCACACUGGGACUGAGACACGGCCCAGACUCCUACGGGAGGCAGCAGUAGGGAAUCUUCCGCAAUGGACGAAAGUCUGACGGAGCAACGCCGCGUGAGUGAUGAAGGUUUUCGGAUCGUAAAGCUCUGUUGUUAGGGAAGAACAAGUACCGUUCGAAUAGGGCGGUACCUUGACGGUGCCUAACCAGAUAGCCACGGCUAACUACGUGCCAGCAGCCGCGGUAAUACGUAGGUGGCAAGCGUUGUCCGGAAU
RNAcentral lists this ribosomal RNA (500 nucleotides) under Bacillus tequilensis. RNAcentral describes it as "bacterial SSU rRNA". It matches the Rfam family "Bacterial small subunit ribosomal RNA", at positions 67 to 551 of the family's 1533-position model. Lineage: Bacteria; Bacillati; Bacillota; Bacilli; Caryophanales; Bacillaceae. The record is from RNAcentral.